Molecule: ribosomal RNA, 539 nt
Filed under: uncultured archaeon
Lineage: Archaea
Description: bacterial SSU rRNA
Rfam family: Archaeal small subunit ribosomal RNA
Source: RNAcentral
AAAGGCGAUAAGGGGACCUCGAGUGCCAGGUUACAAAUCUGGCUGUCGUGAUGCAUAAAAAGCAUUGCAUAGCAAGGGCCGGGCAAGACCGGUGCCAGCCGCCGCGGUAACACCGGCGGCUCGAGUGGUAACCGUUAUUAUUGGGUCUAAAGGGUCUGUAGCCGGCCGGAUAAGUCUCUUGAGAAAUCCAGCAGCUCAACUGUUGGGCUUUCAGGAGAUACUGUUCGGCUCGAGGCCGGGAGAGGUGAGAGGUACUUCAGGGGUAGGGGUGAAAUCUUGUAAUCCUUGAAGGACCACCAGUGGCGAAGGCGUCUCACCAGAACGGACCUGACGGCAAGGGACGAAAGCUAGGGGCACGAACCGGAUUAGAUACCCGGGUAGUCCUAGCCGUAAACGAUACUCGCUAGGUGUCGGCCACGGUGCGACCGUUGUCGGUGCCGUAGGGAAGCCGUGAAGCGAGCCACCUGGGAAGUACGGCCGCAAGGCUGAACUUAAAGGAUUGGCGGGGGGAGCACCAUAACAGGUGGAGCUUGCGGUUA